This 476-nucleotide ribosomal RNA is filed under the name uncultured bacterium. Its description in RNAcentral is "bacterial SSU rRNA". It matches the Rfam family "Bacterial small subunit ribosomal RNA", at positions 307 to 776 of the family's 1533-position model. The record is from RNAcentral.
GCCACACUGGGACUGAGACACGGCCCAGACACCUACGGGUGGCAGCAGUCGAGAAUCUUUCACAAUGGGGGAAACCCUGAUGGAGCGACGCCGCGUGGAGGAUAAGGUCUUCGGAUUGUAAACUCCUGUCAUGCGAGAGCAAGAUUGGUCAUUUAAUAGGUGAUUAAUUUGAUAGUAUCGCAAGAGGAAGAGACGGCUAACUCUGUGCCAGCAGCCGCGGUAAUACAGAGGUCUCAAGCGUUGUUCGGAAUCACUGGGCGUAAAGGGUGCGUAGGUGGCGUGGUAAGUCAGAUGUGAAAGCCCAGGGCUCAACCCUGGAAUUGCAUCCGAUACUGCCGUGCUAGAGAACUGAAGGGGAGUCUGGAAUUCUCGGUGUAGCAGUGAAAUGCGUAGAUAUCGAGAGGAACACCAAUGGCGAAGGCAAGACUCUGGGCAGUUUCUGACACUGAGGCACGAAGGCCAGGGUAGCGAACGGA